CCUGCACCUGACACCCAGUGCCCUGGGUGUGAAGACAGAGGAAGAGCUGCAGUGCAUACCUUAGCCAAGCCUUCACUCUCUAUGGCCUGGGAAGAGGGAAAGAGGGAAGCUUCCCUGUAAGGCACAGACAUAGAGUUACAGACAGCAUAACCUUGAGGCUCAGGUCCAGCCAGCAGACCCAAGAGGACCUCUGAGGCUAUCUGCUGCUGACAAUCCAGACUGGGGAAGGCACUUGCCCAACAGCAUACAGCAUUUCAGUAACAGAUCUGAGACCUCAACUUCUUCCUUAGACCAAACACUGGAAUACUGGGAAUAUGGUAGACAUAUUGGGCUGAAUGGAGAGGAAGUCAUAGGAGGAGGGGUGAAGGCAGAGGAACUCUGUCCUUCUCAUAAGGACUCCCAUACUCUUCUGGUGUGACAACUUCAUCUAAGGAGCCUACUCCUGGUCUCUCUGGUCUUCUGCUGUCCCUGGUAUCCACUUCCUUUGCAAGGAGGGUGGGGAUUUGGAGAGAGUCCAGAGCCUUGUGGAAGGACAUGGCUGAGACUACAGCCUCUGCUUUCAGAUACAACCUUGGGGAGAUGGACCAGGGAGGAAGGAGUGAUCAUCAGUAAGGUCCAGAGACAAGAAAGUUCUGCAGCUCUAGAAAUGGCAUUGCCUUUGUGAGGAAUGCUCCAUGAAGGUGUGGACAUCACUUAGGCUGGGCCAUAUUGCACCCUGCAUGGGCUGCUGUCAAUCAAGAGACCCACCAGACUAACUGCCCACUGGUCAAAGAUUCCUACUGAAUGGGCAAAAGGAAAUAGGUUGAAUGGUCAGCUGUGAAAAACAAGGUUGCUGGCUGAAGCCGAUUCUGACACCCUGGGGUGUGAUGUUGUCCAAAAAAACUAAUCUUAAAAGAAUUUUUAGUGAGUUGGAGAUAUGCUCACAACAUAACAUUUCCCAGAACAAGAAAGGAUGCACUACAAGAGCCAGGUCAAGGGGUGUUCGUGAAACAGCGUCCGAGUCCACCAACAUGUUAGCAGGGUUUAAAUCUGGAUCAUAGGUUUGUCGGAGACUUUUAUCCCCUUCCUUAUUCUUCUGUUUUCUCUUCAGUAAACAAUAUUACAUAUAUUGCACACAAUAAAAAUAUUAUAAGAAACAGUAUUACUUUUAUAAUAAGAAAAAGAAGCUCAUAAAAGUUUACAAAAGGAAUAAGGCACCAUGUAAUUUUAGGUGACACAGUCCCUUUUUUCCAUGGUGGCUUUUCUUAUAGCAGUCAAAACCCAGACUGCCUGAUUCAGAGCCUUUUUCUUUCUAAACCCACUCUGCCUUGGUGGUGUGCUGGGGUUGUUUCUACAUGUGCAGUAGAGUUAAAGGUGUGCUGGCUGGGAGAGGAAAAGCACAGUGGAAAGAUGAGGGAGUGAUGAGAGGAGAUUGCACCCACAAUUCCCUCAUGGCAAUUUAAGUUACCCCCCAACUAAGCAUGGUGCUGUUCUCUAUAGAAAUUUGGGAGGAGCCACAGUAAUCUAUUCACUUCAUGACAUCACCUCCCUGGAAAGCAUGCACUUGUGGCUGUUGGGGAAAAUUAAGAGAACAAUGUGGCCAGAACAUAGCUCCACACUAACUGUCCAUGGAGUGAACUAAUCAUUAUAGAAAAUGAAAUGCAGUAUUGCUUCCACUGGACAUGACAUGGUCAUUGCACACAUGAAAUCAUAGCAAGUGUAGUUGCCUGCACAAAAGACUGUGACUGUGAAUAUUUCAUCAUGACCAGGGAGGAGACACUGUUAGUUAAUGGUUAUAGGUGGAGGGGAGUCAUCUUCUCCAGUGGCGUAGCUAUAGUCAGCUGCCUAUACUCUGGUAAAUAAUGCCUCCACCCAUGCUAAGGUAAGCAAUCCUCAUUAAACUUGAUGGGACAUGCACA
Molecule: long non-coding RNA, 1898 nt
Filed under: Cricetulus griseus (Chinese hamster)
Lineage: Eukaryota; Metazoa; Chordata; Mammalia; Rodentia; Cricetidae
Description: lncRNA (ENSCGRG00015033039.1)
Source: RNAcentral